AGAGUUUGAUCCUGGCUCAGGAUGAACGCUGGCGGCGUGCUUAAUACAUGCAAGUCGAACGAAGAGUUUCUGUAGCAAUACGGGAGCUUCUUAGUGGCGAACGGGUGCGUAACGCGUUGGUGACCUGCCCCAAAGUGUGGGAUAACAGUUCGAAAGGACUGCUAAUACCGCAUGUGAUUAUCGGUUUUAGAAUCCGACAAUUAAAGCAGUAAUGCGCUUUGGGAGGGACCUGCGUCCCAUCAGCUUGUUGGUGAGGUAACGGCUCACCAAGGCUACGACGGGUAGGGGACCUGAGAGGGUGGUCCCCCACACUGGCACUGAAACACGGGCCAGACACCUACGGGUGGCAGCAGUAGGGAAUAUUGGGCAAUGGGCGAAAGCCUGACCCAGCAACGCCGCGUGCACGAUGAAGGUCUUCGGAUCGUAAAGUGCUUUUCUGAGAGAUGAGAAAGGACAGUAUCUCAGGAAUAAGUCUCGGCUAACUACGUGCCAGCAGCCGCGGU
This 503-nucleotide ribosomal RNA is filed under the name uncultured bacterium. Its description in RNAcentral is "bacterial SSU rRNA". It matches the Rfam family "Bacterial small subunit ribosomal RNA", at positions 8 to 521 of the family's 1533-position model. The record is from RNAcentral.